GAUGAACGCUGGCGGCGUGCCUAAUACAUGCGAGUCGAGCGAACAGACGAGGAGCUUGCUCCUCUGACGUUAGCGGCGGACGGGUGAGUAACACGUGGAUAACCUACCUAUAAGACUGGGAUAACUUCGGGAAACCGGAGCUAAUACCGGAUAAUAUAUUGAACCGCAUGGUUCAAUAGUGAAAGACGGUUUUGCUGUCACUUAUAGAUGGAUCCGCGCCGCAUUAGCUAGUUGGUAAGGUAACGGCUUACCAAGGCAACGAUGCGUAGCCGACCUGAGAGGAUGAUCGGCCACACUGGAACUGAGACACGGUCCAGACUCCUACGGGAGGCAGCAGUAGGGAAUCUUCCGCAAUGGGCGAAAGCCUGACGGAGCAACGCCGCGUGAGUGAUGAAGGUCUUCGGAUCGUAAAACUCUGUUAUUAGGGAAGAACAAAUGUGUAAGUAACUAUGCACGUCUUGACGGUACCUAAUCAGAAAGCCACGGCUAACUACGUG
This 497-nucleotide ribosomal RNA is filed under the name uncultured bacterium. RNAcentral's name for it is "partial 16S ribosomal RNA". It matches the Rfam family "Bacterial small subunit ribosomal RNA", at positions 28 to 507 of the family's 1533-position model. The record is from RNAcentral.